GACGAACGCUGGCGGCGUGCUUAACACAUGCAAGUCGAACGGAAAGGCCCUGCUUUUGUGGGGUGCUCGAGUGGCGAACAGGUGAGUAACACGUGAGUAACCUGCCCUUGACUUUGGGAUAACUUCAGGAAACUGGGGCUAAUACCGGAUAGGAGCUCCUGCUGCAUGGUGGGGGUUGGAAAGUUUCGGCGGUUGGGGAUGGACUCGCGGCUUAUCAGCUUGUUGGUGGGGUAGUGGCUUACCAAGGCUUUGACGGGUAGCCGGCCUGAGAGGGUGACCGGCCACAUUGGGACUGAGAUACGGCCCAGACUCCUACGGGAGGCAGCAGGGGGGAGUAUUGCACAAUGGGCGGAAGCCUGAGGCAGCAACGCCGCGUGCGGGAUGACGGCCUUCGGGUUGUAAACCGCUUUCGCCUGUGACGAAGCGUGAGUGACGGUAAUGGGUAAAGAAGCACCGGCUAACUACGUG
RNAcentral lists this ribosomal RNA (468 nucleotides) under uncultured bacterium. RNAcentral's name for it is "partial 16S ribosomal RNA". It matches the Rfam family "Bacterial small subunit ribosomal RNA", at positions 28 to 507 of the family's 1533-position model. The record is from RNAcentral.